Non-coding RNA from Populus trichocarpa (black cottonwood), 156 nucleotides. Lineage: Eukaryota; Viridiplantae; Streptophyta; Magnoliopsida; Malpighiales; Salicaceae. The record is from Rfam.
UCUAGAACUCAAGAUAUGGGCUAAACACCGAGCAAUGUCAAGGCUGCAAAAUAGAUUCAGACUUCUUUUUUGUUGCUAAGAUUUGAACUUCAAAACAACAGUAUUGAGUCUUGGACGCUGCAUGAAUGUUUUAGGCAUAUGUCUUAUCUUUCCAUC